UUUAAAUUUAGAGUUUGAUCCUGGCUCAGGACGAACGCUGGCGGCGUGCUUAACACAUGCAAGUCGAGCGAUGAAGCUUCCUUCGGAAGUGGAUUAGCGGCGGACGGGUGAGUAACACGUGGGUAACCUGCCUCAAAGUGGGGGAUAGCCUUCCGAAAGGAAGAUUAAUACCGCAUAAUAUAAGAGAAUCGCAUGAUUUUCUUAUCAAAGAUUUAUUGCUUUGAGAUGGGCCCGCGGCGCAUUAGCUAGUUGGUAAGGUAACGGCUUACCAAGGCAACGAUGCGUAGCCGACCUGAGAGGGUGAUCGGCCACAUUGGAACUGAGACACGGUCCAGACUCCUACGGGAGGCAGCAGUG
This 357-nucleotide ribosomal RNA is filed under the name Clostridium botulinum. Its description in RNAcentral is "bacterial SSU rRNA". It matches the Rfam family "Bacterial small subunit ribosomal RNA", at positions 1 to 356 of the family's 1533-position model. The record is from RNAcentral. Lineage: Bacteria; Bacillati; Bacillota; Clostridia; Eubacteriales; Clostridiaceae.